UUUCAGUUCCUCGGGGAAAAAUUCAGAGAAAAUUAGGGACAGCCUGCAGGCGCACUGUGAAUCGUAUUCGGAUCCCGAAAACAAGUAAGGACCCCUCACCCUAUUUCCUAUCACGGUAUUAAAGUUCAAAAUGAUAAAACGGUAUUUCUUGAAUUAACGCAUGUGUGAAAUUGCUUAAGGUUGCUAAUGGAGCCCGAGUCUAGUGUGAUUGAUGAUUUACUGUUAUUUGGCUUGUUUUACACUGUUUUACAGCUUUAAAUGCAUUAUGGGGUUUGAUGUGUUCAUUUUAUAGUUUCGAAUGCAUAUAUUACUGUUU
RNAcentral lists this long non-coding RNA (316 nucleotides) under Carica papaya (papaya). Its description in RNAcentral is "long non-coding RNA (CPAP_LNC001306)". Lineage: Eukaryota; Viridiplantae; Streptophyta; Magnoliopsida; Brassicales; Caricaceae. The record is from RNAcentral.